AGAGUUUGAUCCUGGCUCAGAUUGAACGCUAGCGGGAUGCCUUACACAUGCAAGUCGAACGGCAGCGCGGACUUCGGUCUGGCCGGCGAGUGGCGAACGCGGUGAGUAAUUGUAUCGGAACGUGCCCAGUAGCGGGGGAUAACUACGCGAAAGCGUAGCUAAUACCGCAUACGCCCUACGGGGGAAAGCGGGGGACCUUCGGGCCUCGCACUAUUGGAGCGGCCGAUAUCGGAUUAGCUAGUUGGUGGGGUAACGGCUCACCAAGGCGACGAUCCGUAGCUGGUGUGAGAGGACGACCAGCCACACUGGGACUGAGACACGGCCCAGACUCUACGGGAGGCAGCAGUGGGGAAUUUUGGACAAUGGGGGCAACCCUGAUCCAGCCAUCCCGCGUGUGCGAUGAAGGCCUUCGGGUUGUAAAGCACUUUUGGCAGGAAAGAAACGGCGCUGGUUAAUACCUGGCGCAUCUGACGGUACCUGCAGAAUAAGCACCGGCUAACUACGUGCCAGCAGCCGCGGUAAUACGUAGGGUGCAAGCGUUAAUCGGAAUUAGCUGGGCGUAAAGCGUGCGCAGGCGGUUCGGAAAGAAAGAUGUGAAAUCCCAGGGCUUAACCUUGGAACUGCAUUUUUAACUACCGGGCUAGAGUGUGUCAGAGGGAGGUGGAAUUCCGCGUGUAGCAGUGAAAUGCGUAGAUAUGCGGAGGAACACCGAUGGCGAAGGCAGCCUCCUGGGAUAACACUGACGCUCAUGCACGAAAGCGUGGGGAGCAAGCAGGAUUAGAUAACCUGGUAGUCCACGCCCUAAACGAUGUCAACUAGCUGUUGGGGCCUUCGGGCCUUGGUAGCGCAGCUAACGCGUGAAGUUGACCGCCUGGGGAGUACGGUCGCAAGAUUAAAACUCAAAGGAAUUGACGGGGACCCGCACAAGCGGUGGAUGAUGUGGAUUAAUUCGAUGCAACGCGAAAAACCUUACCUACCCUUGACAUGUCUGGAAUGCCGAAGAGAUUUGGCAGUGCUCGCAAGAGAACCGGAACACAGGUGCUGUAUGGCUGUCGUCAGCUCGUGUCGUGAGAUGUUGGGUUAAGUCCCGCAACGAGCGCAACCCUUGUCAUUAGUUGCUACGAAAGGGCACUCUACUGAGACUGCCGGUGACAAACCGGAGGAAGGUGGGGAUGACGUCAAGUCCUCAUGGCCCUUAUGGGUAGGGCUUCACACGUCAUACAAUGGUCGGGACAGAGGGUUGCCAACCCGCGAGGGGGAGCUAAUCCCAGAAACCCGAUCGUAGUCCGGAUCGCAGUCUGCAACUCGACUGCGUGAAGUCGGAAUCGCUAGUAAUCGCGGAUCAGCAUGUCGCGGUGAAUACGUUCCCGGGUCUUGUACACACCGCCCGUCACACCAUGGGAGUGGGUUUUACCAGAAGUAGUUAGCCUAACCGCAAGGGGGGCGAUUACCACGGUAGGAUUCAUGACUGGGGUGAAGUCGUAACAAGGUAGCC
Molecule: ribosomal RNA, 1495 nt
Filed under: Alcaligenes sp. R-3
Lineage: Bacteria; Pseudomonadati; Pseudomonadota; Betaproteobacteria; Burkholderiales; Alcaligenaceae
Description: 16S ribosomal RNA
Rfam family: Bacterial small subunit ribosomal RNA
Source: RNAcentral